Camelus dromedarius (Arabian camel) is the source of this 639-nucleotide long non-coding RNA. RefSeq lists it as uncharacterized. The transcript has 5 exons. NCBI's taxonomy places the organism in Eukaryota, Metazoa, Chordata, Mammalia, Artiodactyla, Camelidae. The record is from RefSeq and is a predicted model, not a curated record.
GCGUCUGCCGGCAGGCGGCGUGAUGACGCGAGCGCGGGGCGUGCUCGGCAGUAGGCAUGGCUGGCGGCUAUGGUGAGGUCUCUCCUAGGUGUUGUCGUCGUCAUCCGGGGCCAUCGAGGGUCCUAGGCCGUGCCUGCCGCCUGCUGAAGCCAGGUGGACCACCCUCGACUCCUCCGCAGCAGAUCCUCUGUAAGAUGCACUGCAUCCAUGUGGCUGACGGGCUACCAUGUCACCUUUCCCGGUUCCUGACAGGCGUGGCUUCCGCAGCAGACUAUGCUCUGUGUUCCUGCCCCAGUACAUGACAGGUGUUUCAGCAGCAGAAAUCUCAGGAUGUCUGAGCUAGAAGAGACCUGAGAGAGAAUCCCUUCAGUGGCUGACAAGUUGUUCAUGGGAUCUGCAGUGCUGAGGAAGUGGAAGCUGAUGUUGUGACCUGCCCAUGUUGGCACACCUGGUGACCGUGCAGCAGAACUUGAACCCAGGCCUUUGCGCUUCAGUUCUCUGAGCAGGUUUGGUGCCAUGCAUGCCGUCUGCUUCCAGAAUAAGGAUCCUCGCUGUACUUCAGGACUCAGGCCCCUCUGGCAUCUGAAUGAGAAUAUAUGGUUACUUUUAAUAUUUAAUAAAAUGGCUUUAAAUGUAUAA